RNAcentral lists this unclassified non-coding RNA (243 nucleotides) under Nigrograna sp. RNAcentral's name for it is "partial contains 5.8S ribosomal RNA, internal transcribed spacer 2, and large subunit ribosomal RNA". Lineage: Eukaryota; Fungi; Ascomycota; Dothideomycetes; Pleosporales; Nigrogranaceae. The record is from RNAcentral.
CGCACAUUGCGCCCUCCGGUAAUCCGUUGGGCAUGCCUGUUCGAGCGUCAUUUAAACCUUCAAGCUCAGCUUGGUGUUGGGUGCUUGUCCUCCCCCGUGGUGGACUCACCUCAAAUGCAUUGGCGGCCGGCAUGUUGGCUUCGAGCGCAGUAGAAACGCGCCUGGUGUCUUGACAUGUUGGUCCUCCACAAGCCUCUCUUUUAUCUUGACCUCGGAUCAGGUAGGGAUACCCGCUGAACUUAA